Molecule: ribosomal RNA, 458 nt
Filed under: Micrococcus luteus
Lineage: Bacteria; Bacillati; Actinomycetota; Actinomycetes; Micrococcales; Micrococcaceae
Description: bacterial SSU rRNA
Rfam family: Bacterial small subunit ribosomal RNA
Source: RNAcentral
GAUGAACGCUGGCGGCGUGCUUAACACAUGCAAGUCGAACGAUGAAGCCCAGCUUGCUGGGUGGAUUAGUGGCGAACGGGUGAGUAACACGUGAGUAACCUGCCCUUAACUCUGGGAUAAGCCUGGGAAACUGGGUCUAAUACCGGAUAGGAGCGUCCACCGCAUGGUGGGUGUUGGAAAGAUUUAUCGGUUUUGGAUGGACUCGCGGCCUAUCAGCUUGUUGGUGAGGUAAUGGCUCACCAAGGCGACGACGGGUAGCCGGCCUGAGAGGGUGACCGGCCACACUGGGACUGAGACACGGCCCAGACUCCUACGGGAGGCAGCAGUGGGGAAUAUUGCACAAUGGGCGCAAGCCUGAUGCAGCGACGCCGCGUGAGGGAUGACGGCCUUCGGGUUGUAAACCUCUUUCAGUAGGGAAGAAGCGAAAGUGACGGUACCUGCAGAAGAAGCACCGGCUA